AUGAGGCUAAUCUGCUGGAAUUGCCGGGGGUUGGGGAACGACCCGGCAAUUCAGGGUCUUCUGGAACUCCAUAAGAGGGAGGACCCCGAUGUUCUUUUCUUGUCGGAAACAAGGAUGGAGCAACGGAGACUUAAAUGGUUAAUAUGGAAGAUGAACAUGACGUGCAUGGUAGCGAAGGGCAGCGAGGGCCGAGGAGGGGGUUUGGCUUUGUUCUGGAAGAAGGAAAUGGACUUGCGGGUGGUAGGAUUCCUGUCAAAAUAUCACAUUGAUGCUGAGAUUACAGAAGAGGAUCGGUUCAAGUGGAGGUUUACGGGGAUAUAUGGGGAGCCGAAGAUGGAAGAGAAAGGAAGAACCUGGAAGCUGAUGAGAACCCUGAAAAACCAAAACAAUAUUCCAUGGUUGUGUGGGGGAGAUUUUAAUGAGCUGUCACAUGCCUGGGAGAAAGAGGGGGGGUGUGCCGAGGAGCCAACGAUGUAUGGAUAA
This 483-nucleotide ribosomal RNA is filed under the name Triticum aestivum (bread wheat). Its description in RNAcentral is "partial small subunit ribosomal RNA". The record is from RNAcentral. Lineage: Eukaryota; Viridiplantae; Streptophyta; Magnoliopsida; Poales; Poaceae.